Molecule: ribosomal RNA, 470 nt
Filed under: uncultured bacterium
Lineage: Bacteria
Description: SSU rRNA
Rfam family: Bacterial small subunit ribosomal RNA
Source: RNAcentral
AGGAUAAACGCUGGCGGCGUGCCUAACACAUGCAAGUCGAACGUCUCUUCUUUCGGGAAGAGGAGUGGCGGACGGGUGAGGAACACGUGGGAACCUGCCCUUCAGUGAGGAAUACCGGCGAGAAAUCGCCGACAAGACCGCAUAGCCCUCUCUGGUGAGAGCCAGAGAAGGAAAGCCUCGCAAGAGGCGCUGGAGGAGGGGCCUGCGUCCGAUUAGCUAGUUGGUGGGGUAAGAGCCUACCAAGGCGUCGAUCGGUAGCUGGUCUGAGAGGACGAUCAGCCACACUGGGAUUGAGAACGGCCCAGACUCCUACGGGGGGCAGCAGUGAGGAAUUUUCGGCAAUGGGGGAAACCCUGACCGAGCAACGCCGCGUGCAGGAAGACGGCCUUCGGGUUGUAAACUGCUUUCUUUGGGACGAGCAAGGACGGUACCAGAGGAAUCAGCCCGGCUCACUACGUGCCAGCAGCCGC